Molecule: long non-coding RNA, 3309 nt
Organism: Aedes albopictus (Asian tiger mosquito)
Lineage: Eukaryota; Metazoa; Arthropoda; Insecta; Diptera; Culicidae
Exons: 3
Source: RefSeq, a predicted model, not a curated record
UGUCGGGCCGCCACCAAACCGGACUUCGCACAAUCAAGUCGCGACGCGACCCAACUCGCGACGUUUUUUUAUCAUGUCAAAAGUAGUGCGCAUCCUUCCCGUUGUUGUCAGCAACACAUCGCACUAGAUGCGAAACAGUUGCGACACUUGUGGACCAAGAAAAUUGCAAUUUUUGUUUGAAUGUCGGUCUUGAUUCCAACCGGAUAGACAAUACUCAGGCGUGUCAAUUUUUUGAGUGUGCAUAUAGUGUCUUACCCAAGUAACCACUAAGCCGUAAAAAUAGACCAUUCCCGUCUGACCUUACCCCCCUUUUUUAUAUUUUUCUCAGAAAGACAAUUGUUUUUAAUGAUAAUUGUCGCUCUCAGAUUUUUUUUUCAUGCCCUCCUUUUUUUCAUACAAAUUUUCAAAAUCUGAGAAUCUCACCACUUUUUCCUCAUGCGAAGUAGUUUUUAGUAACCCUAUACUGCGGUGAUUUUUUUUUCACCUCUCAGAAAAUGAAGACCAACUGGGAGCCCUAUUCAAUCAUGUUUGUUUACGUUUUAAAAUGUCAAACUGUUUCCAGAAAGGCCAACGGGUACGGGAGCAACAGGAUCCAAAUAUCUACGGCGAGCACGUCCUGGAUUUCUCAAGAUCCGACCGGUUUGGACUUUAUUGCGGCGGCGCGGAUCGGUACUGAUUUCAACGUUCUAAUGCCUCAUGCGAGUGCCGGAGACAAGGAGCAGGAGCAGCUGGAAUUACGUGGUUUGCCUCGAACGGCAACAUUCUGGAGGAAAAUGAGACUUUUAUUUUUGUUGUUUCCGGACCACUUCCACAUUCGUCCGGAAGUCUUUCAGCAGGAUCUCCUGCUUCUGGUACUCGGAUCCCUUUAGCAAAAAUGCAAAAAUCCCCUAAGGAAUUCCGCAAACAAGAGUUCCCCAGCGGUGAUACUUUUUUGGGACUCCAGCGGGGUUUCACUCUGAAAUUAUACCAGAAGGAAAUCCUUUUAUUAUUCCGCCAGUAGAAAUUCAUUUUGAACUAUAGAUACAUGUGAGAAAUUCAACCGGAUAUUGUCCCAGGAAUUCUCACAAAAGUUUGCAGGAAAUUGAAUAGGAGAUUACUCCAGAAAUUCCCACCGACGAUUGCGGCAGGAAGUCCCUUCAAAGAAUGCUCCAGGAAACCCCACUCAGGUCUAAUCGAGACGUCGGGUUUAAUUUGCAGCCAAAGUGGUGCGUGUUCGGAAGAAAAGGCAAAAUCUGAUGAUCAGCUGGAAAAGUGCCCCGACAGUCGAUAUUCGCUCAUUGCCGCCAGCUGCAGAAAGCUAGCAAGGUGUAGAAACCGGUUGUUCCCGACAACACCAUUAUCGGAGAAAGCGUUGAGAAGCGCUGUGAAAAAGUUUGCCGAUGAAAAAGGAGGAGGAAUGUAGUUCGACCGGCAUUCGCACCGAAGAUUGCUCCCGGAUAUUUUAAUCAAUUCCCAAAAAGGAUUGCUCCAGGAAUUUUCACCGAUUGAUCCAAGAAGUCCCACCGGAGAUUGCAGCAGGAAGUCCCCCGAGGAUUACUCUCCACGAAACCCCAUUGUGGAUUGCUCCGGGAAUUGCUCAAGAAGUCCCACCGAGGAUUGCUCCUAGUGGUCCCACCGGGGAUUUCUCCAGAAAUUUCCACCGAAGAUUGCUCCAGAUAUUCACAUCGAGGACUGUUUCAUAAAUUCCCACGGGGACUGUUCCAGGAAACACCACUGCGGAUUCCUCCAUGAGUUCCAUUUGGGAACUGCACCAGGAAAUCCCACCGGGGAUUACUUCAGGAAUGCCCACCGAAGAUUCCUCUAGGAGUUCUCUUUGGGUAUUCCUCCGCGAGUUCUCUUUGGGAAUUCCUUCGGGAGUUCUCUUCGAGAAUUUCUUCAGGAGUUCCCAUUAAAGAUUCCUCCUGGAGUUUCCUUUGGAGAUUUCUCAAAACGUUCCUUUCCGGGAAUCCACCAGAAAUUUCUUCCGGGAAUCCACCAGGAGUUCCCUUUGGAUGGGAAUUCUUCCAGGAGCUUCCUUUGGUGAUUUUACCAGGAAUAUUCCAGAAAUUCGAUCUGGGGAUUGCUUCAGGAAUUCGAUCUGAGGAUUCCUCCUGAAAUCCGGUUUACUCAAGGAACCUAUGAACUCACGGAAGAAAAACUUGGAGAAUUCUCGGAAGGAACUCCUGGUGGAGUCCCAAAAGAAAUUUCUGGUUGAUCCCCGGAAGGAAUUCCUGGAGUAAUUCCAGAGGGACUCGUGAAGAAAUCGAAAAUUUUCACUGUACAAGAAUACCAUUGCCCUUCCGUGAAUCGCAUAUAUGUCCCAUUUGCAUAGGAAAUCCAGCAAAGAUGGGACUGAUAUGCGAUUCACGGCAGUGCCUUUCUAUUAACCACCAGCAUUUUCCUCUGGGAAACUACCCAGUAGUUCCGAGAAGCACUACCACUACCCAAUAAACAAGAAAUCUUCCCAAAAUUCAUUUUGGAAAAUAUUCCUUGCCAGAAAUUGCUUCUGAGGAAUUCUCUAGCACCCGACAAAUGGUUUGCAAUUUCUUCCGCCACCGAUUCCUUCCGGGAGAUCCCACAAAGUCUAUCACGGAAUCUUUCAUCGAUUCUUUCUAAGGAAUCAAUUCCUACUGGGGAUUUCUCCUGCAAUCUCUUCCGGGUGAUCUUAUUGCGCAAACCGUUAAGAGAAAUUCUCUAGAAAUUGGAAGAAUUCUUCACCGUUUCUUACGAGUAGCUUCUGGAGGAAUCCCAAGAAGGAACUCCAAGAGCUUCCGAAGGAAUCCCCAUAAAAAAAACUACACAAUUUACUUUUUCGAAACCUCCAGCAGUUUUUUUCCUUGGAAUUUUUCACCACUUCCAUCCCUGAAUCCUACUGUGAUUUUUUUUUCAGCAAAUCUCUUCCGGGAAUCUUCAAGCAAUUCAUCAAUCCAGAUACUUCACCUUACACUAGAGCAUUACGUAAUUUGUAUACGGCGCCGAAUGAUUAUACAUAAUUUAUUAAAUCCAACUGGCUUGAAAUUGUUCCUUGGAAUGUAGACUCUACUGAGCUAGAAAAGUCUCUGUAUUUAUCGAGCAUUUCUGAUAAAUAUGCCGAAACAUAAUUUAAUAAGUUCUGGUUCUAUACAUACUCAUCUGGAAUAACCAUUUGGUAUAUUAAAAUGAUAUAAAAGUGAUGUGUUUCACUGAAGAAUAGUACUCUACAAAAAUUAAAAUAAAUCUUCAUUUUAAUACUUUUAUAUUUAGUGAUCUUAUACACGGUUAUACAUAUACAUAAGAUUAGGUAAGAUUAUAUUUUUUAGGCUAGAUUCGCAUAACCUAUCAGUAACUGAU